This 740-nucleotide ribosomal RNA is filed under the name uncultured bacterium. RNAcentral describes it as "bacterial SSU rRNA". It matches the Rfam family "Bacterial small subunit ribosomal RNA", at positions 8 to 796 of the family's 1533-position model. The record is from RNAcentral.
AGAGUUUGAUCAUGGCUCAGAACGAACGCUGGCGGCAGGCUUAACACAUGCAAGUCGAACGCCCCGCAAGGGGAGUGGCGCACGGGUGAGUAACGCGUGGAUAUCUGCCUUUUGGUUCGGAAUAACCCCGGGAAACUGGGGCUAAUACCGAAUGGUUCCUACGGGAUAAAGAUUUAUCGCCAAAAGAUGAGUCCGCGUCCGAUUAGCUAGUUGGUGAGGUAACGGCUCACCAAGGCGACGAUCGGUAGCUGGUCUGAGAGGACGAUCAGCCACACUGGGACUGAGACACGGCCCAGACUCCUACGGGAGGCAGCAGUGGGGAAUAUUGGACAAUGGGGGCAACCCUGAUCCAGCCAUGCCGCGUGAGUGAUGAAGGCCUUCGGGUUGUAAAGCUCUUUUGGCGGGGACGAUGAUGACGGUACCCGCAGAAUAAGCCCCGGCUAACUUCGUGCCAGCAGCCGCGGUAAGACGAAGGGGGCUAGCGUUGUUCGGAAUUACUGGGCGUAAAGCGCGUGUAGGCGGUUGUUCAAGUUGGAUGUGAAAGCCUUGAGCUCAACUCAAGAAUUGCAUUCAGGACUGAAUGACUAGAGGACCGGAGAGGAUAGUGGAAUUCCCAGUGUAGUGGUGAAAUACGUAGAGAUUGGGAAGAACACCAGUGGCGAAGGCGGCUAUCUGGACGGUUUCUGACGCUAAGACGCGAAAGCGUGGGGAGCAAACAGGAUUAGAUACCCUAGUAGUCC